CUACACAUUUUCUAUCUAUAUUUUAUAAACAUAUACGAGAAAUUUCAAGUAUUUCAACUGGUUUGUAACAUUACUAUUUUAGGAGAAAUUAGUUAUCCAGAUCAAGUUAUUCAAGCUCAGGUUUUAGUGGGACUAUCUGAAGGUUUUGCGGAAAGAUAUUUUAGCUUUGGCGUCCAGAUAUGAGUAGUAGCAGCCGACAUUGACAUAAUUUCUACCUACCAAUGCUGAUUCAAAGCAGGGUGAGCUUACUGUCAUUCGAACUUAAUCCUCCUAUGUCUACUCCAAUUUAGUCUUUUGUACUCAAGAAUACUUGUAUAUAUAAUGUAUAUUUUGAAUUCUAUGCAAUACUCUUGUAUCUUUUAGUAGUGGCUCUACCAAGUCUUGAGAGGGAUUCAUUUGUGUAAUUGGUCCUUUUCCUUCCCUUGUUUUAGUAUAUAAUAUAUGUUUUCUUUC
Capsicum annuum is the source of this 453-nucleotide long non-coding RNA. RefSeq lists it as uncharacterized. Lineage: Eukaryota; Viridiplantae; Streptophyta; Magnoliopsida; Solanales; Solanaceae. The record is from RefSeq and is a predicted model, not a curated record. The transcript is spliced from 2 exons.